ACUACGGGUGGCAGCAGUGGGGGAUAUUGCACAAUGGGGGGAACCCUGAUGCAGCGACGCCGCGUGGGUGAAGGAGCGUUUCGGCGCGUAAAGCCCUAUCGGCAGGGAAGAAGAUGACGGUACCUGACCAAGAAGCCCCGGCUAACUACGUGCCAGCAGCCGCGGUAAUACGCAGGGGGCAAGCGUUAUCCGGAUUUACUGGGUGUAAAGGGGGCGCAGACGGCAAUGCAAGCCAGGAGUGAAAGCCCGGGGCCCAACCCCGGGACUGCUCUUGGAACUGCAUGGCUAGAGUAAAGGCGGGGCAGGAGGAAUUCCUAGGGUAGCGGUGAAACGCGUAGAUAUUAGGAGGAACACCGGUGGCGAAGGCGGCCUGCUGGACUGUGACUGACGUUGAGGCCCGAAGGCGUGGGGAGCAAACAGGAUUAGAUACCCGGGUAGUC
This 440-nucleotide ribosomal RNA is filed under the name uncultured bacterium. RNAcentral describes it as "partial 16S ribosomal RNA". It matches the Rfam family "Bacterial small subunit ribosomal RNA", at positions 338 to 795 of the family's 1533-position model. The record is from RNAcentral.